GGACCCGCGGUGCAUUAGCUAGUUGGUGAGGUAACGGCUCACCAAGGCCACGAUGCAUAUCCGACCUGAGAGGGUGAUCGGCCACAUUGGGACUGAGACACGGCCCAAACUCCUACGGGAGGCAGCACUAUGGAAUCUUCUGCAAUGGACAAAAGUCUGACCGAGCAACGCCCCGUGAGUGAAGAAAGUUUUCGGAUCUUAAAACUCUGUUGUUAUAGAAGAACAAGGAUGAGAGUAACUGUUCAUCCCUUGACGGUAUCUAACCACAAAACCA
Molecule: ribosomal RNA, 274 nt
Filed under: Enterococcus faecium
Lineage: Bacteria; Bacillati; Bacillota; Bacilli; Lactobacillales; Enterococcaceae
Description: partial 16S ribosomal RNA
Rfam family: Bacterial small subunit ribosomal RNA
Source: RNAcentral